Molecule: ribosomal RNA, 283 nt
Filed under: uncultured bacterium
Lineage: Bacteria
Description: partial 16S ribosomal RNA
Rfam family: Bacterial small subunit ribosomal RNA
Source: RNAcentral
UUUCCCUACGGGGCGCAGCAGUGGGGAAUAUUGGGCAAUGGGCGCAAGCCUGACCCAGCAACGCCGCGUGAAGGAAGAAGGCUUUCGGGUUGUAAACUUCUUUUCUCAGGGACGAAGAAAGUGACGGUACCUGAGGAAUAAGCCACGGCUAACUACGUGCCAGCAGCCGCGGUAAUACGUAGGUGGCAAGCGUUAUCCGGAAUUAUUGGGUGUAAAGGGUGCGUAGACGGGAAAAUAAGUUAGUUGUGAAAUCCUUCGGCUCAACUGAGGAACUGCAACUAAA